RNAcentral lists this transfer RNA (83 nucleotides) under Mycobacterium malmoense. Its description in RNAcentral is "tRNA-Phe". The record is from RNAcentral. Lineage: Bacteria; Bacillati; Actinomycetota; Actinomycetes; Mycobacteriales; Mycobacteriaceae.
GACCAGCUGAAACACGCUCGUGUAAGUCAAAAGUCAGCCUGAAAAGCGGAAGGUCGGCGGUUCGAUCCCGCCCCUGGCCACCA